Molecule: ribosomal RNA, 408 nt
Filed under: Triticum aestivum (bread wheat)
Lineage: Eukaryota; Viridiplantae; Streptophyta; Magnoliopsida; Poales; Poaceae
Description: partial small subunit ribosomal RNA
Source: RNAcentral
AUGGUGGAAGUCGGAGUCUUGCUCAAGCCGCGCGACGGGGUGGAGCUGGAGCUGGGGCUGGUCGGCGCCUGCCCGCUGGUGGAAGGGGAUGAUGUCGAGGGACUCGACCUCGUCGCCGACGAAGUUGUAGCCGUAGAGGAGGGGGAGGGCGGGCUGGAGGGCGUGGUGGGCGAGGAGGAAUUGGCGGGUGGAGGUGGCGCUGCGCCAUGCGCGGCAGACGGCGCGGCAGCGGAGGAGCGAUUUGGGGGGCAGACGGACGAGGAUCUCCCAGAUGGUGAUCUCGUCUGGGAGGCUGCCGCCGGGAGGCGGCGCCGUUGCUCCUCUCGCGGCGUCCGCCAUGGUCGCCGGCGGCAAGCAAGAGAGGUGAGUGGUGGACUGCUUGUGGCAGUGCGUGACGGCGGCGUUUAG